RNAcentral lists this ribosomal RNA (1603 nucleotides) under Salmonella enterica subsp. enterica serovar Kentucky. Its description in RNAcentral is "partial 23S ribosomal RNA". It matches the Rfam family "Bacterial large subunit ribosomal RNA", at positions 627 to 2215 of the family's 2925-position model. Lineage: Bacteria; Pseudomonadati; Pseudomonadota; Gammaproteobacteria; Enterobacterales; Enterobacteriaceae. The record is from RNAcentral.
CUUAUAUUCUGUAGCAAGGUUAACCGUAUAGGGGAGCCGAAGGGAAACCGAGUCUUAACUGGGCGUUAAGUUGCAGGGUAUAGACCCGAAACCCGGUGAUCUAGCCAUGGGCAGGUUGAAGGUUGGGUAACACUAACUGGAGGACCGAACCGACUAAUGUUGAAAAAUUAGCGGAUGACUUGUGGCUGGGGGUGAAAGGCCAAUCAAACCGGGAGAUAGCUGGUUCUCCCCGAAAGCUAUUUAGGUAGCGCCUCGUGAACUCAUCUUCGGGGGUAGAGCACUGUUUCGGCUAGGGGGUCAUCCCGACUUACCAACCCGAUGCAAACUGCGAAUACCGAAGAAUGUUAUCACGGGAGACACACGGCGGGUGCUAACGUCCGUCGUGAAGAGGGAAACAACCCAGACCGCCAGCUAAGGUCCCAAAGUCACAGUUAAGUGGGAAACGAUGUGGGAAGGCUCAGACAGCCAGGAUGUUGGCUUAGAAGCAGCCAUCAUUUAAAGAAAGCGUAAUAGCUCACUGGUCGAGUCGGCCUGCGCGGAAGAUGUAACGGGGCUAAACUGUGCACCGAAGCUGCGGCAGCGACGCUUAUGCGUUGUUGGGUAGGGGAGCGUUCUGUAAGCCUGCGAAGGUGUCCUGUGAGGGAUGCUGGAGGUAUCAGAAGUGCGAAUGCUGACAUAAGUAACGAUAAUGCGGGUGAAAAGCCCGCUCGCCGGAAGACCAAGGGUUCCUGUCCAACGUUAAUCGGGGCAGGGUGAGUCGACCCCUAAGGCGAGGCCGAAAGGCGUAGUCGAUGGGAAACGGGUUAAUAUUCCCGUACUUGGUGUUACUGCGAAGGGGGGACGGAGAAGGCUAUGUUGGCCGGGCGACGGUUGUCCCGGUUUAAGCGUGUAGGCUGGUUUUCCAGGCAAAUCCGGAAAAUCAAGGCUGAGGCGUGAUGACGAGGCACUACGGUGCUGAAGCAACAAAUGCCCUGCUUCCAGGAAAAGCCUCUAAGCAUCAGGUAACAUCAAAUCGUACCCCAAACCGACACAGGUGGUCAGGUAGAGAAUACCAAGGCGCUUGAGAGAACUCGGGUGAAGGAACUAGGCAAAAUGGUGCCGUAACUUCGGGAGAAGGCACGCUGACACGUAGGUGAAGUGAUUUACUCAUGGAGCUGAAGUCAGUCGAAGAUACCAGCUGGCUGCAACUGUUUAUUAAAAACACAGCACUGUGCAAACACGAAAGUGGACGUAUACGGUGUGACGCCUGCCCGGUGCCGGAAGGUUAAUUGAUGGGGUCAGCGCAAGCGAAGCUCCUGAUCGAAGCCCCGGUAAACGGCGGCCGUAACUAUAACGGUCCUAAGGUAGCGAAAUUCCUUGUCGGGUAAGUUCCGACCUGCACGAAUGGCGUAAUGAUGGCCAGGCUGUCUCCACCCGAGACUCAGUGAAAUUGAACUCGCUGUGAAGAUGCAGUGUACCCGCGGCAAGACGGAAAGACCCCGUGAACCUUUACUAUAGCUUGACACUGAACAUUGAGCCUUGAUGUGUAGGAUAGGUGGGAGGCUUUGAAGUGUGGACGCCAGUCUGCAUGGAGCCGACCUUGAAAUACCACCCUUUAAUGUUU